AACUUUUAACAACGGAUCUCUUGGCUCUCGCAUCG
This 35-nucleotide ribosomal RNA is filed under the name uncultured Cryptococcus. RNAcentral's name for it is "partial 5.8S ribosomal RNA". Lineage: Eukaryota; Fungi; Basidiomycota; Tremellomycetes. The record is from RNAcentral.